This is an RNA transcript of Panthera uncia (snow leopard), 1929 nucleotides long. RefSeq lists it as uncharacterized. NCBI's taxonomy places the organism in Eukaryota, Metazoa, Chordata, Mammalia, Carnivora, Felidae. The transcript is spliced from 5 exons. The record is from RefSeq and is a predicted model, not a curated record.
CCUACCUUCCUCUCUUGGAUCACAGAGAGGCCUUGACUUCUGGAAGCCGUUUCUAGUGAGAUACCCCAUCGCCAGGCUGAACGCCUGCCAGGAGGAGGCCCACCUGGUGUUAACCGGUGACUGACAGAGACAGAGACAGAGACAGAGAUGAUGGGAAGGUAGAGAUCAGGAGAUGAUGGAUGGCAAGAGGGGCUCUAGAAACUCUCCUGACGACGUCAUGUUGGGGCAGGGGGAGUGCCCAGAGAGGCAGGAGGCAGGCGGCACACUGUGCAGCCUCGAUGGAACAGAAGGUCCAGACCCACGGGCUGUGCCGUGAGACACAAGCCAGGAAGCAGCCGUGCGGAUUCAGGGUCGGUGCGGCCCCAGCGGAGGGCGUCCCCCACCCACUGCGGGGAAUCUGGGGUCUGGGGUCAGAGCCACCCUCCCCAGAAGAGCACUUCUCUUUCUCUGUGAGAGCAACCAGCCUGGAUUCCCAGAGAAGCAGGAGGAAAAUGUGGAGACGCUCUCUGUGCAAACUCACCUACGGAAAGACCCCAGCUCCUGCCAUGUCCUGCCUCCCACAUAGUGACCCGUGUUCAGGUGAUGUUGCCCUGCAUGUACGUGUGUACAUGUGUGCAUGCGAAUGUGUGCAUAUGUGUGCGUGCGUGUGUGUGUGUGUGUGUGUGUGUGUAGCAGAACGGGAUGCAUUGCAGGUCAGCCAAAGAAAUAAAAUGACUUUGUCUAUCAGUGAUCGGAUGUCACUCAGGAGCUGCCCCCACUUAGGCAGGGAGCACACGCACACUCACACACACACACACACACACACACACACACAAUCAUUGCAAACGCUCUUGUAUCUUGGCCGGUCUCCAUGCUCCUUCCCAGGAUGGUGUCCCAGGUGCAGGGAGCAGGUGGCUCUGUGUCCUCCUGCUGGUCCCUGGGUCCGAGCUGACUGGGGACUGCGGGGUUUGCUCACCAGCUUGCUGCAGGCCCAGUUGAUGUCCAUGCUCAGUGGUCACAGGGUCCAGCCUUUCUCUGCUCCCUUGGGGCCUGGGGACCAUUCUGGUGAUCUCCGUGUCCCCUUUGUCCCAGGGGUUCAGUGUAUGUGUCUGGGCGCCCGCUCCUGCCCCAUCCGGCCCAGGUGGGAUCUCUCCUCCCACGGCGACGGCCCCCCUGGCGUUCGCCCCCAGGGCACACCUCCGGAACUGGGGGAGUCCCAGGGCAAGGUAGCCCUCCCUCUCUGCCUAGCCACACUGGAGCCACAAGGGGUGCUAUACCAGCCUUGGCCUCCAGGUGGCGCUCAGGGGCCGCAUCCCUCAUGCAGGAAAGUAGGGACAUCCAGGGGCAGAGUCCUGACCCUGGGGUCUGUGGCUGGAGGGUCAAGGAGGAAAGACUGGUCCACAACGUCUGCUUUUCUGUCCUCUCCUCUUCCUGCCCAGUCCCCGAGAUAGAAGGCGUGUGGGCUUUAUCUUGCUCUCCUUCCAAAAUUCCCCCUAAACCGCUUCUGCUGCCCCUGCAGCCUCACUGCCGGGACUCAUAGGUCUCCUUUUCACUAGAGCAGAUGCCCCACCUGGUCGGCCGUUCCUCCUCUGGAAGGGGCAGAAUAUUCUGGAGUCGUCUGUCUCCCAAUGCCAUGCUGUCCGCCCUUCCCUUGCUAAGAGCCUGGCUCUGGUCAGGGUCAAACGAGCCGGAUUUUGAGGGGAGACUCACCAUCUGACUGUGAUGGUUGUUUGACAUCAUAGCACCUGGUUCUUGGGCCUGCGGACUGGGGCUGAUUUAUCCCACAGGUUCUCCUGGGUCUCCAGCUGGCAGGUAGUAGAUGGUGGGACUUCUGGUUCUAUAACCCAUGAGCUGAUUCUUAUGAGGCAAGGGAAACCAAAGCAAAAAUGAACUAUUGGGACCUCAUCAAGAUAAAAAGCUUCUGCACAGCAAUGGAAACAAUCAAUAAAA